GUCCACAUAUUAGAUUUGCUUAAACCAAAGGUAUUUUUCUUUGAAAUGAAAUAAUUGUAGGGGCAUGUAACAGUUAAGCUUUAGAGUAACAGAGGAAAAACUGGGUAAGAUUUUAUAAGUCAGUAUAUUGCUUUUUAGGUAGGAAAUUCUGCUUAAGAAGUCAGACAGCUUCUGCUGUUACUAUGGGAAAAGGAGAAGGCUGCCCAGCGUAUUUCAGGGAGAUUUACUAGGAUCUCUUGGGAACUGCAGCAGAAAUCACUACGAAAUAUUUUGAGGAUAGAGGAAAUAGGACAACAGCGUUUACUAGGUUUUACUCUGAAGAAAGCUAAAGAAGGUGAAAUGGAGUUCAUCUUGAGAAAGCGGUAAAAGAUUGAGAAGCUAAGAAAAGACUUACACAGCAGCAACAAGAAGAGACUGGAGUAGUGGGCAGAGUUUCCGGUCAGCAAGAGAGCACCAUCCAGUUGUCAUGCUGGUUAGCAGCAAGGAACAUUAACAAAGGAGAUUAGGAAUGACCAGGGUCAGUUUUUGUUCAUCCAGUUUUGCCUCCCACAAUCUCUCUCUGAUCUUUCCCUCCUGAUCUGUUUGAGUACUGUAGCAGCCAUGCACUCUCUGCUGAAGGGUAUCACGUUUACCUUUCACUGUGCCUAGAAUGCUCUUCGCCUCAAGCCUCCCUUCUUCACUUGAUUCAAGUUUCUGCUAGAAGCUCCCUUAUCAGAGAGACCUUUAGUGACCACUCUGUCUGAAGGAGGCAGACACUCUUCCCUUAUUCCGCUUUACUUCAUAACAUUCAUUACCACCUCAUACAUGGUGGUUUAAUGUUUCCCCAGUUUUCUCUGCUAGAAGUAAAUUCUUUGAGAGUUCAGCUUCCGUUUCUUUUGCCCAUCACUGUAUUCCCAGUACCUAAUUCAUAUAAAAAUUUGUGGAAUGGAUUUUUAGGGUAUCUCCUGCUAUCACUGUGAGAAGAGCUGAGAAUGAGGAGUACAGGACUCAGCCCUUGUUCUAUGUUAUGCAAUAUAUUAUAUGGUUAUACUAAGUAUAACAGCCUGAGGACAGAGUGCUGUGAGCUUUGAGAAAUAAGCUAGAGAUGGUCAUCACAGAACUGGAUCUUGAAUGAUAAAGAGGAGUUUUGUUCUGUGGUGGAGACAAGGAAUGAUCUUCUAGGCUAUCAAAGCAGGGUGAGUGAAGUUGGAGAGUUGUAGAAAUGAGUUUUGUGUUUGGAUGUCAUUGAGUGAUUUUGAUGUGGCUGCUAGAGCACAGGUGCAUGGGAAAGCAUCACAAAGGGGCCUGAGAGGUAGGGUUGGGGAGGACAUGUAAAACAUGUGGAGAUCUGAUUGGUAAAGUUAUUGAUAGGAGUUUGGACCUUAUCUUUUGGGAAGCAAGGAAGUAGCAAUAUCCAAAAGAGGGUGCUUACGGAUGGAUUGAAAGAGGGAAGGUUAUAGAGGGGAUAGAGAACAAAACGGGAUAUGACUUUCCCAACCCAGAAAUGCAUGAGAAGGUUGGGGAUCUUCACAAUGAAAGACAAAAAAAAAAAAAAAAAAAAA
This 1541-nucleotide long non-coding RNA is filed under the name Macaca fascicularis (crab-eating macaque). RNAcentral's name for it is "lncRNA (ENSMFAG00000051007.1)". The record is from RNAcentral. Lineage: Eukaryota; Metazoa; Chordata; Mammalia; Primates; Cercopithecidae.